Molecule: unclassified non-coding RNA, 1195 nt
Filed under: Hevea brasiliensis (rubber tree)
Lineage: Eukaryota; Viridiplantae; Streptophyta; Magnoliopsida; Malpighiales; Euphorbiaceae
Source: RNAcentral
UGCAACCACAAUCAUAACACUUUCAUGGAACCAUCUCUUGGAAACAAAAACCCAGAAUAUAUCAUAUAAGAAUGCACAGCUGAGAAGCACAGAUCCCACCUUGAGAUUGGGGACUCUGACAAUUUGAAGAACUGUAAUAAUCAACGCAAUUCCCAGAAUAUCUUGACCUAUCCAUGCGAGUGAUCUGCGACGAUAAACACCCCAAACAGUAGCAAAUGUUAUGCAGAAUGGUGUAACAGCUAGAGUAAGGUAUGAAAUGGCCCCAAAGAAUGGCACUUUAAUAUAUGAUUUUUCAGCAUGCUUGAACCACCGAGACAACAAAGCUACCAAACAGGUUUGUAGACCCUCUACUCCACCGAUGCAAAACAGAACCACCAAAAGCACCACAAACCAAAAUGACAUGAGUUUGUAGAGCAGAAUCAAGAACAGUGAUGCAAUAAGAACAAACAGAACAGCUGACAUAGUGUUGAUGUCCACCACUCCGCUGUCAUCUGAUGUUUCCAUGUCGACUACAUCAUCCGGGGCAUCCUUCAAAAUUUUGUUAUGUUCUAUGGACGCUUCUCUGGCACUCCAUGCUGACCAAUAGGAUGCACAUAAGAUGGUACCAACUGCCAUGAGCCAUAAAAACACCUCUGCUGUGUCCACUAUAGGACGAUCUGGAGAGUACAAUUGUACCGCAACUGAGGAACCAUUUUCAAGGUACUUCUCUAAGCUUGCACCUGCAUCUUGAGGCAACAUAACUACCGGUAUGUUUAUAUUUAAAUCUGUAUCAUUGCGAUCACAAACCAUCUUAUAUAGCUCUUUGCGGUUGUUUAUUAUAAGUAUAGCAGAAGCUCCAGCUGCUUCUGCAAUCUUUGCCUUGGUCGUGAAUUUACAAUUGCCCCGGUGUACUAAGAGAACAUCUCCAGCAAUCUUAUUUUUUGGUGCAGUACAGCAAUCAGGUGGCUCUGCUAUAGAAACCUGUGUACGAUUCGCAUGUUUCUCCUUUGAUGCCAUUAGAGUCCCAAACCGAGCACCAACACCAACAAACUCUCUGUCUUCUCUAUUACCAAUCCAGGUUUGCACUUUAACCAGAACGAAGUUAUUGGAGCAGCCGGGCUGCUUCGGCGCCUUGUCGUCUUCGUGGACGAUAUCGCCGCCGCUGACCAGAAGCGGCAGCAGCCAGAGCAGCACCACAACCGAGCGCGGCCCCAUG